UACGUAGGGGGCAAGCGUUGUCCGGAAUCAUUGGGCGUAAAGAGCGUGUAGGCGGUCCGGUAAGUCGGCUGUGAAAGUCCAGGGCUCAACCCUGGGAUGCCGGUCGAUACUGCCGGACUAGAGUUCGGAAGAGGCGAGUGGAAUUCCCGGUGGAGCGGUGAAAUGCGUUGAUAUUGGAAGGAACGCCGGAGGCGAAAGCGGCGCACUGGAUUCUUCUGACGCUGAGGCGCGAAAGCUAGGGGAGCAAACGGG
RNAcentral lists this ribosomal RNA (252 nucleotides) under uncultured bacterium. Its description in RNAcentral is "partial 16S ribosomal RNA". It matches the Rfam family "Bacterial small subunit ribosomal RNA", at positions 524 to 776 of the family's 1533-position model. The record is from RNAcentral.